GAUGAACGCUGGCGGCGUGCCUAAUACAUGCAAGUCGAGCGAACAGACGAGGAGCUUGCUCCUCUGACGUUAGCGGCGGACGGGUGAGUAACACGUGGAUAACCUACCUAUAAGACUGGGAUAACUUCGGGAAACCGGAGCUAAUACCGGAUAAUAUAUUGAACCGCAUGGUUCAAUAGUGAAAGACGGUUUUGCUGUCACUUAUAGAUGGAUCCGCGCCGCAUUAGCUAGUUGGUAAGGUAACAGCUUACCAAGGCAACGAUGCGUAGCCGACCUGAGAGGGUGAUCGGCCACACUGGAACUGAGACACGGUCCAGACUCCUACGGGAGGCAGCAGUAGGGAAUCUUCCGCAAUGGGCGAAAGCCUGACGGAGCAACGCCGCGUGAGUGAUGAAGGUCUUCGGAUCGUAAAACUCUGUUAUUAGGGAAGAACAAAUGUGUAAGUAACUAUGCGCGUCUUGACGGUACCUAAUCAGAAAGCCACGGCUAACUACGUG
RNAcentral lists this ribosomal RNA (497 nucleotides) under uncultured bacterium. RNAcentral's name for it is "partial 16S ribosomal RNA". It matches the Rfam family "Bacterial small subunit ribosomal RNA", at positions 28 to 507 of the family's 1533-position model. The record is from RNAcentral.